RNAcentral lists this transfer RNA (65 nucleotides) under Heterocephalus glaber (naked mole-rat). It matches the Rfam family "tRNA". From Rfam's summary of the family: Transfer RNA (tRNA) molecules are approximately 80 nucleotides in length. Their secondary structure includes four short double-helical elements and three loops (D, anti-codon, and T loops). Further hydrogen bonds mediate the characteristic L-shaped molecular structure. tRNAs have two regions of fundamental functional importance: the anti-codon, which is responsible for specific mRNA codon recognition, and the 3' end, to which the tRNAs corresponding amino acid is attached (by aminoacyl-tRNA synthetases). tRNAs cope with the degeneracy of the genetic code in two manners: having more than one tRNA (with a specific anti-codon) for a particular amino acid; and 'wobble' base-pairing, i.e. permitting non-standard base-pairing at the 3rd anti-codon position. The record is from Rfam by way of RNAcentral. Lineage: Eukaryota; Metazoa; Chordata; Mammalia; Rodentia; Bathyergidae.
GGUGUAGCUCAGGGGAAGAGCACUUGCCUAGAAUGCCCAAGACCCUGGGUUCCAAUCCCAGCACC